AACCGAAAAAAGACGAAAAGAAAAAAGAACAAAAACAUCUUCCGCAACCCUAAUAUUCUCUCUCUUCGAAUUUCUUCCUUUCACAGCUUCUCUUCUCCUUCGUCUCUGGUGGUUAUAUUUCCGUAAUGAAGAAGAAGAAGCAAGCUUCCGACGCUGGAACUAUCGUCGGAGAUGGCAAAGAUACCGCGGGAAAAUCUUCCGCCAUUGUAGGCGACAUCAAAAGCUUAGUGAAAGACCACGCAAACUUCUUCGACAAGAUCGUAGAAUUAAUUCCGGCGAAGUUCUACCUUCCUUCAAAUGAAGACGAUAAGCCGUGGUUCCAAGGGUUAUCCAAAGCAGCGAAAGCAGAAGCGAAGCUAAAAUCAAUUGAAAACACGAAGAAAUCGAGACGCGAUCGAUUAGACCCCGAGAAAUCGUCCAAAACAACCCUAGAUUUGUUGAAGGAGUCAUUGGAGAGCCAAAAAUCGGAGAAAAAAGCGUCAAGUGAUGAUGAUGAUGAUGAUCGUAUUGGUGGUGGUUCGAGGUUGAUGAAUUUGGAGGAGGAUAAGAGGUCGGUGACUUACGAGGAGUUGAGGCAGAGGUUGCAUAGGAGGAUUGAGGAGUUGCGAGCCGGUCGCGGCGACGGAAGCGGGUUUGUGAGGAAGAGGAAGGAGGUGGAGAAGAGAGAGAAGAAGGAUGAGAGGAAGCGUAAAAGAGAUGAAGAUAAGGAGGAUGAUAAUGAGAUUAAGAGAGAUAUUGAGAAGGAAGUUUCUGAAGCUGCUAAAGGAAUUGAGUUUGGGAAGGUCAAAUUAGCUGCUUCCACUGAUGAAAUACUUAAUAAUAACAAGAAGAAGAAGAAAUUGUCGAAGGAGAAGGAGUUAGAGAGAGCACUUCAGCUGGAAGAGGCAAAGAAAGAUCCAGAAAAGGGUGAAGUAUUUACAAAAAAGCAUUCUUGGAAGACAGCUACUGAGAGGGCAAUGGGGGUUAAAGUGCAUGAUAAUCCCAAGCUGUUGAAGAAAAGUUUGCAGAAGGAUAAAAAGAAGCAUGAGAAGAGUGUCGAGAAGUGGAAGCAGAGGGUUGAAACCACUGAGAAGAUGAAGCGGGGUAAGCAGGAUAAGAGAAAAGAGAAUAUUAAGGCCAGGAUUGACAAAAAGAAGCAAACAAAAAUUGACAAGAGAGAAAAGAAGCUUAUGAGGCCAGGGUUUGAGGGCAGGAAAGAGGGCUACAUUACAGGGAAUUAAGGUAUUGAUGUCUCUCAGUUGGAUGGUAGGUUUUUUUUCAUCAUGGAUAGCAUACUUGUACGGAUGCAUUGGAGAAGUUGUAAUGGUUCCUUGCUGAAGUUUUUGACCUACAUUUACCAAGGAAUGAGAUCUGUGCAUCCAUGGAUGUUCUCAUUAUGGGGUUUACUUAUAUAAGAUAAAUCCAUAGCUAUUCCCAAAUGGAGUUGGUUUUGUUGCCUCCAGUUAUGAGAUUGACCUACCAACCUUUAACGUUGACCUAGCGUAUCUUAUCAAUAAUGAGUCGAGUUCGGUCAGCUACCGCAGGUAACUUAUUCCUACUUUACGAAAUUACGUUGCUCUUUUGGUUUCUUUUACUGACUUCAUCUUAUACUGUUUUGAUCUACAUCUACUUGAUAAAAUAGGGAGGUAGUAAACUAAUCAGCUGCUGGAUGUGUCUUGCUGUGUAUAGGUUGCUCCUCUGCUCUAAUAUGAGCCAUGUUUAACUCCCUCUCCUCGCUUCACAUGUUGAUUCCCCGUAUUCCAAGGAUUAAAAAAUGGAGGUCCUGAGCUACUUUUCAUCUUACAAAGGAAAGUCAGGUGAACUUUUUGGUAUUCGGCAAAUGGAUUUACUAAGCUCCUACUUCAAAUCCUUACAGGAAGCCGGAAGGAUACUACACACUUUUCCCCAUGCUAUCCAAACAAGCCAAUAGAAUAUGACAUGGGAAUACAUUAGGGUGAAAUUGUUACGGUGUGAAAGUUAAGAUUACGGCCUCUUCUCUGGUUAAGGUCAUGGAUGAAGCUUUUAACAUUUACAAAAAAACUUUGGGUUGAGGUGGCCAAUACCAGGUAUAUAAGCAUUGAUUUCAAAUGCAGAUGUUAAUCGUACUCUGGCAACUUUACGUAAGGCGGAGUUUGGCGAUGUUUGCUAGUUAUUUGAUGAAAUUAAUAGCACAUAUUUGUAAAUUGCAACCAAUGAAGCCUUCGAACUACUUUGAAGCUUGGCUAAUGGCUAAGAAUGCUAUCAAUAAAAAUUUAGAUAUUUGUA
RNA transcript from Beta vulgaris subsp. vulgaris (sugar beet), 2244 nucleotides. It is a transcript of the gene named ribosomal RNA-processing protein 14-C, with no coding region annotated. The record is from RefSeq and is a predicted model, not a curated record. Lineage: Eukaryota; Viridiplantae; Streptophyta; Magnoliopsida; Caryophyllales; Amaranthaceae. The transcript has 5 exons.